Long non-coding RNA from Engraulis encrasicolus (European anchovy), 369 nucleotides. RefSeq lists it as uncharacterized. The transcript is spliced from 3 exons. The record is from RefSeq and is a predicted model, not a curated record. NCBI's taxonomy places the organism in Eukaryota, Metazoa, Chordata, Actinopteri, Clupeiformes, Engraulidae.
GAUGCCAGAGUUCUGUGUCGUGAGGACUAAAUCGACUAAAUCACCCCAAACACACUGCUGCUCGGCCAAGCCACUAAAACGGAAGAUUUCAAAACGGUUGACUACAGCACCUACCCCUUCUGCAAGAAAUGCAGCCACCUCCGGAGGUCCUGGAGCCAACUUGCAGGCUCAAAUCUGUUCAUCCACAGAAGUGGUUAGGGAGACAUCAUGUGAGAAAAGAAGCCCCCCAGAUGUGACCAUUAACAGCAGACCUAAACUGCACUUCAAAACAGUCCCCCACCUACAGGUGUACUGGGUGGGGGUCCAUGAUGGUUGGUGCAAUGGGUGCCAUCAUGUUAGACUUCAUGCUCUUCCCCUCGCAUGCGUGGC